AUUGAACGCUGGCGGCAGGCUUAACACAUGCAAGUCGAACGAGUGGCGGACGGGUGCGUAAUGCUUGGGAAUCUAGCUUAUGGAGGGGGAUAACUACGGGAAACUGUAGCUAAUACCGCGUACCAUAGGCUGAGCCCAAGUGGGAUUAGGUAGUUGGUGAGGUAAAGGCUCACCAAGCCGACGAUCUCUAGCUGGUCUGAGAGGAUGACCAGCCACACUGGAACUUGGAAAGGGCCCGGACUCUAACGGGAGCUGGUGGGGGGGAAUUUUGGCCUAUGGGGGCAAGCCUGUUGCAGCCAUGCCUGGUGUGUGAAGAAGGCCUUCGGGUUGUAAAGCAUUUUCAGCGGGGAGGCGUUACUCGCAGAGGAAGCACCGGCUAACUCCGUGCCAGCCUCCGCGUAAUUC
RNAcentral lists this ribosomal RNA (405 nucleotides) under uncultured bacterium. RNAcentral describes it as "partial 16S ribosomal RNA". It matches the Rfam family "Bacterial small subunit ribosomal RNA", at positions 30 to 526 of the family's 1533-position model. The record is from RNAcentral.